This 251-nucleotide ribosomal RNA is filed under the name uncultured prokaryote. Its description in RNAcentral is "partial 16S rRNA". It matches the Rfam family "Bacterial small subunit ribosomal RNA", at positions 525 to 775 of the family's 1533-position model. The record is from RNAcentral.
ACGUAGGUGGCAAGCGUUAUCCGGAAUUACUGGGCGUAAAGGGCGCGUAGGCGGGAAGACAAGUCGGGAGUGAAAUCCCAGGGCUUAACCCUCGAGCUGCAUUCGAAACUGUUUUUCUUGAGUAUUGGAGAGGAAAGUGGAAUUCCCAGUGUAGCGGUGAAAUGCGUAGAGAUUGGGAGGAACACCAGUGGCGAAGGCGACUUUCUGGACGAUUACUGACGCUGAGGCGCGAAAGCGUGGGGAGCAAACAG